Molecule: ribosomal RNA, 253 nt
Filed under: uncultured bacterium
Lineage: Bacteria
Description: partial 16S ribosomal RNA
Rfam family: Bacterial small subunit ribosomal RNA
Source: RNAcentral
UACGGAGGGUGCAAGCGUUAUCCGGAUUCACUGGGGUUAAAGGGUGCGUAGGUGGGCAGGUAAGUCAGUGGUGAAAUCUCUGGGCUUAACCCAGAAACUGCCGUUGAUACUAUCUGUCUUGAAUAUAGUGGAGGUGAGCGGAAUAUGUCAUGUAGCGGUGAAAUGCUUAGAUAUGACAUAGAACACCCAUUGCGAAGGCAGCUCGCUACACUAUCAUUGACACUGAGGCACGAAAGCGUGGGGAUCAAACAGG